CAAUACUUAGUGGCAGACGGGUGAGUAACAUGUAGGUAUCUUCCCUUUGGUGAGGAAUAACACGAGGAAACUUGUGCUAAUACCUCAUAAGUCUUUACAGAGAAAGCUUUAUGCGCCGAAGGAUGAGCCUGCACUUGAUUAGUUUGUUGGUGGGGUAAUGGCCUACCAAGACUUUGAUCAAUAGCUGAUCUGAGAGGAUGAUCAGCCACAUUGGGACUGAGACACGGCCCAAACUCCUACGGGAGGCAGCAGUAGGGAAUAUUGCACAAUGGAGGAAACUCUGAUGCAGCGAUGCCGCGUGAGUGAAGAAGGCCUUUGGGUUGUAAAGCUCUUUCGUCGGGGAAGAAAAUGACUGUACCCGAAUAAGAAGGUCCGGCUAACUUCGUGCCAGCAGCCGCGGUAAUACGAAGGGACCUAGCGUAGUUCGGAAUUACUGGGCUUAAAGAGUUCGUAGGUGGUCAAAAAAGUUGGUGGUGAAAUCCCAGAGCUUAACUCUGGAACUGCCAUCAAAACUUUUUGGCUAGAGUAUGAUAGAGGAAAGCAGAAUUUCUAGUGUAGAGGUGAAAUUCGUAGAUAUUAGAAAGAAUACCAAUUGCGAAGGCAGCUUUCUGGAUCAUUACUGACACUGAGGAACGAAAGCAUGGGUAGC
RNAcentral lists this ribosomal RNA (649 nucleotides) under uncultured marine bacterium. Its description in RNAcentral is "bacterial SSU rRNA". It matches the Rfam family "Bacterial small subunit ribosomal RNA", at positions 86 to 769 of the family's 1533-position model. The record is from RNAcentral.